AUUGAACGCUGGCGGCAUAGCUUUACACAUGCAAGUCGAACGGCGAGCACGGGGGCAACCCUGGUGGCGAGUGGCGAACGGGUGAGUAAUGCAUCGGAACGUGCCCCGUAGCGGGGAUAACCAGUCGAAAGACUGGCUAAUACCGCAUACGCUCCACGGAGGAAAGCAGGGGAUCGCAAGACCUUGCACUAUGGGAGCGGCCGAUGCCCGAUUAGCUAGUUGGUGAGGUAAAGGCUCACCAAGGCGACGAUCGGUAGCUGGUUUGAGAGAACGACCAGCCACACUGGGACUGAGACACGGCCCAGACUCCUACGGGAGGCAGCAGUGGGGAAUUUUGGACAAUGGCGCAAGCCUGAUCCAGCCAUGCCGCGUGCGGGA
This 378-nucleotide ribosomal RNA is filed under the name uncultured bacterium. RNAcentral's name for it is "bacterial SSU rRNA". It matches the Rfam family "Bacterial small subunit ribosomal RNA", at positions 29 to 408 of the family's 1533-position model. The record is from RNAcentral.